RNAcentral lists this ribosomal RNA (468 nucleotides) under uncultured bacterium. RNAcentral describes it as "partial 16S ribosomal RNA". It matches the Rfam family "Bacterial small subunit ribosomal RNA", at positions 28 to 507 of the family's 1533-position model. The record is from RNAcentral.
GACGAACGCUGGCGGCGUGCUUAACACAUGCAAGUCGAACGGCAAGGCACUGCUUUUGUGGGGUGCUCGAGUGGCGAACGGGUGAGUAACACGUGAGUAACCUGCCCUUGACUUUGGGAUAACUUCAGGAAACUGGGGCUAAUACCGGAUAGGAGCUCCUGCUGCAUGGUGGGGGUUGGAAAGUUUCGGCGGUUGGGGAUGGACUCGCGGCUUAUCAGCUUGUUGGUGGGGUAGUGGCUUACCAAGGCUUUGACGGGUAGCCGGCCUGAGAGGGUGACCGGCCACAUUGGGACUGAGAUACGGCCCAGACUCCUACGUGAGGCAGCAGUGGGGAAUAUUGCACAAUGGGCGGAAGCCUGAUGCAGCAGCGCCGCGUGCGGGAUGACGGCCUUCGGGUUGUAAACCGCUUUCGCCUGUGACGAAGCGGGAGUGACGGUAAUGGGUAAAGAAGCACCGGCUAACUACGUG